This 429-nucleotide ribosomal RNA is filed under the name Pseudomonadota bacterium. RNAcentral describes it as "Proteobacteria bacterium partial 16S ribosomal RNA". It matches the Rfam family "Bacterial small subunit ribosomal RNA", at positions 355 to 776 of the family's 1533-position model. Lineage: Bacteria; Pseudomonadati; Pseudomonadota. The record is from RNAcentral.
UGGGGAAUAUUGGACAAUGGGCGAAAGCCUGAUCCAGCCAUGCCGCGUGUGUGAAGAAGGUCUUCGGAUUGUAAAGCACUUUAAGUUGGCAGGAAGGGCAGUAAGCGAAUACCUUGCUGUUUUGACGUUACCGACAGAAUAAGCACCGGCUAACUCUGUGCCAGCAGCCGCGGUAAUACAGAGGGUGCAAGCGUUAAUCGGAAUCACUGGGCGUAAAGCGCGCGUAGGUGGUUCGUUAAGUUGAAUGUGAAAGCCCCGGGCUCAACCUGGGAACUGCAUCCAAAACUGGCGAGCUAGAGUAGGGCAGAGGGUGGUGGAAUUUCCUGUGUAGCGGUGAAAUGCGUAGAUAUAGGAAGGAACACCAGUGGCGAAGGCGACCACCUGGGCUCAUACUGACACUGAGGUGCGAAAGCGUGGGGAGCAAACAGG